GGACCCGCACAAGCGGUGGAUGAUGUGGAUUAAUUCGAUGCAACGCGAAAAACCUUACCUACCCUUGACAUGUCAGGAAUCCUUGAGAGAUUGAGGAGUGCCCGAAAGGGAACCUGAACACAGGUGCUGCAUGGCUGUCGUCAGCUCGUGUCGUGAGAUGUUGGGUUAAGUCCCGCAACGAGCGCAACCCUUGUCAUUAGUUGCUACGCAAGAGCACUCUAAUGAGACUGCCGGUGACAAACCGGAGGAAGGUGGGGAUGACGUCAAGUCCUCAUGGCCCUUAUGGGUAGGGCUUCACACGUCAUACAAUGGUACAUACAGAGGGCCGCCAACCCGCGAGGGGGAGCUAAUCCCAGAAAGUGUAUCGUAGUCCGGAUCGCAGUCUGCAACUCGACUGCGUGAAGUUGGAAUCGCUAGUAAUCGCGGAUCAGCAUGUCGCGGUGAAUACGUUCCCGGGUCUU
Molecule: ribosomal RNA, 461 nt
Filed under: uncultured bacterium
Lineage: Bacteria
Description: bacterial SSU rRNA
Rfam family: Bacterial small subunit ribosomal RNA
Source: RNAcentral